CUUUGGGGAAUCAACAGCAAAAAAUGCUGAGCUACAUCAGGUUGCUAUACUUAAAGUUUUGAUAUCAGCAUCACAGUUGAUGACGAUGUUACAGGGCGAUGGUACAAACAUCAUUGGUAGUGUGAGUAGUGUCAGAGAACACACAAGUAAUGCAUUCACUGCAGAAACUUUUGUUGGUGUGGAUAUUAGUCAUGAAUUAAACAGAGUAAAAGUAAAAGGGCAGUGAUGUGCUGGACUUUUCCUCAGAGAGAGAGAGCCUGAACAAAGUGUAUGAUUCAAGUGAUCCUGAUCUCACAUACGACUUGGACUUACCUCCCACCAGAAAUGCAACAAGGAGAGGCCACAUGCAAACACAAGGAGUUUCUAGAGUCUGAAGAAGUUCCUGAAUCAAUUUCUGUUGACAAGAAACAUCAGAGUAUUGCUCAGAUA
Mercenaria mercenaria is the source of this 429-nucleotide long non-coding RNA. RefSeq lists it as uncharacterized. NCBI's taxonomy places the organism in Eukaryota, Metazoa, Mollusca, Bivalvia, Venerida, Veneridae. The record is from RefSeq and is a predicted model, not a curated record. The transcript is spliced from 4 exons.